Long non-coding RNA from Biomphalaria glabrata, 576 nucleotides. RefSeq lists it as uncharacterized. The record is from RefSeq and is a predicted model, not a curated record. Lineage: Eukaryota; Metazoa; Mollusca; Gastropoda; Planorbidae. The transcript is spliced from 3 exons.
CCUGUGUGCCCUUUGUCACGUAGGCUAUACGUAGGGCCCCUAGGGUCAUAGGACAACAAAAAUGUCUCUUAGUCAGGUCUCUAGGCUGUUUGUUAGACAAUUUAAGACAUCCACUGUUAGCAGGAGUCAGGGAUGGCAGCAAGAGGGUAUACCAGGAUCAAAUCUUCCAUUUGAUAUCCGCAACAAGACUAAACUGACCAUCUAUUUCGUUCUAUUCUUUGGGAGUGCUUUAACUGCUCCAUUUAUUUUAAUGAGGCGCCACCUUUUGCUGCAGUCAUCAAAGUAAAAUAAAUGUCACAUUGGGAAUAGAUAACAGUUUAUCAAGUCAAUGAUGCCAUCACUCAGCUAAGGGCAAAGAAUACUUAUAGAGCUUGAAGCAUUUCAUCUGUCAAUAAAAUGUUACAUUUCAGUUUUGUCAUAUAUCUAUUUCUCAAGUGCCAUAGUUUAUAUUGUGUCUUUAUUUAAUGUAUAAGCCAUCUGUUAGAGGUAUACAUAUGUUUGAUACUUUAUACUCUUUAUAAAAUUGGGGGUGUUUGUAUCAAAUGAAACAUUUUGUAUUAAAAAUAUAUUUUUCUA